GGGUUGUGAGGUUAAGCGACUAAGCGUACACGGUGGAUGCCCUGGCAGUCAGAGGCGAUGAAGGGCGUGCUAAUCUGCGAUAAGCGCCGGUAAGGUGAUAUGAACCGUUAUAACCGGCGAUACCCGAAUGGGGAAACCCAGUGUGACUCGUCACACUAUCAUUAACUGAAUCCAUAGGUUAAUGAGGCGAACCGGGGGAACUGAAACAUCUAAGUACCCCGAGGAAAAGAAAUCAACCGAGAUUCCCCCAGUAGCGGCGAGCGAACGGGGAGGAGCCCAGAGCCUGAAUCAGCAUGUGUGUUAGUGGAAGCGUCUGGAAAGGCGCGCGAUACAGGGUGACAGCCCCGUACACAAAAGCGCAUGUGCUGUGAGCUCGAUGAGUAGGGCGGGACACGUGGUAUCCUGUCUGAAUAUGGGGGGACCAUCCUCCAAGGCUAAAUACUCCUGACUGACCGAUAGUGAACCAGUACCGUGAGGGAAAGGCGAAAAGAACCCCGGCGAGGGGAGUGAAAAAGAACCUGAAACCGUGUACGUACAAGCAGUGGGAGCCCCACCACUAAGCCAGUGGUGAACUCCACAUACGCAUCCUUUGCUGAGGAUACGGUUAACGGAGCGAAAGCGACGUUCAACCGCAAAAGAAGCAGAGGGGGCUUAGUGGUGGGGUGACUGCGUACCUUUUGUAUAAUGGGUCAGCGACUUAUAUUCUGUAGCAAGGUUAACCGAAUAGGGGAGCCGUAGGGAAACCGAGUCUUAACCGGGCGUUAAGUUGCAGGGUAUAGACCCGAAACCCGGUGAUCUAGCCAUGGGCAGGUUGAAGGUUGGGUAACACUAACUGGAGGACCGAACCGACUAAUGUUGAAAAAUUAGCGGAUGACCUGUGGCUGGGGGUGAAAGGCCAAUCAAACCGGGAGAUAGCUGGUUCUCCCCGAAAGCUAUUUAGGUAGCGCCUCGUGAAUUCAUCUCCGGGGGUAGAGCACUGUUUCGGCUAGGGGGCCAUCCCGGCUUACCAACCCGAUGCAAACUGCGAAUACCGGAGAAUGUUAUCACGGGAGACACACGGCGGGUGCUAACGUCCGUCGUGAAGAGGGAAACAACCCAGACCGCCAGCUAAGGUCCCAAAGUCAUGGUUAAGUGGGAAACGAUGUGGGAAGGCCCAGACAGCCAGGAUGUUGGCUUAGAAGCAGCCAUCAUUUAAAGAAAGCGUAAUAGCUCACUGGUCGAGUCGGCCUGCGCGGAAGAUGUAACGGGGCUAAACCAUGCACCGAAGCUGCGGCAGCGACGCUUAUGCGUUGUUGGGUAGGGGAGCGUUCUGUAAGCCUGUGAAGGUGGCCUGUGAGGGUUGCUGGAGGUAUCAGAAGUGCGAAUGCUGACAUAAGUAACGAUAAAGCGGGUGAAAAGCCCGCUCGCCGGAAGACCAAGGGUUCCUGUCCAACGUUAAUCGGGGCAGGGUGAGUCGACCCCUAAGGCGAGGCCGAAAGGCGUAGUCGAUGGGAAACGGGUUAAUAUUCCCGUACUUGGUGUUACUGCGAAGGGGGGACGGAGAAGGCUAUGUUGGCCGGGCGACGGUUGUCCCGGUUUAAGCGUGUAGGCUGGUUUUCCAGGCAAAUCCGGAAAAUCAAGGCUGAGGCGUGACGACGAGGCACUACGGUGCUGAAGCAACAAAUGCCCUGCUUCCAGGAAAAGCCUCUAAGCAUCAGGUAACAUCAAAUCGUACCCCAAACCGACACAGGUGGUCAGGUAGAGAAUACCAAGGCGCUUGAGAGAACUCGGGUGAAGGAACUAGGCAAAAUGGUGCCGUAACUUCGGGAGAAGGCACGCUGACACGUAGGUGAAGUGAUUUACUCAUGGAGCUGAAGUCAGUCGAAGAUACCAGCUGGCUGCAACUGUUUAUUAAAAACACAGCACUGUGCAAACACGAAAGUGGACGUAUACGGUGUGACGCCUGCCCGGUGCCGGAAGGUUAAUUGAUGGGGUCAGCGCAAGCGAAGCUCCUGAUCGAAGCCCCGGUAAACGGCGGCCGUAACUAUAACGGUCCUAAGGUAGCGAAAUUCCUUGUCGGGUAAGUUCCGACCUGCACGAAUGGCGUAAUGAUGGCCAGGCUGUCUCCACCCGAGACUCAGUGAAAUUGAACUCGCUGUGAAGAUGCAGUGUACCCGCGGCAAGACGGAAAGACCCCGUGAACCUUUACUAUAGCUUGACACUGAACAUUGAGCCUUGAUGUGUAGGAUAGGUGGGAGGCUUUGAAGCGUGGACGCCAGUCUGCGUGGAGCCGACCUUGAAAUACCACCCUUUAAUGUUUGAUGUUCUAACGUGGACCCGUAAUCCGGGUUGCGGACAGUGUCUGGUGGGUAGUUUGACUGGGGCGGUCUCCUCCUAAAGAGUAACGGAGGAGCACGAAGGUUGGCUAAUCCUGGUCGGACAUCAGGAGGUUAGUGCAAUGGCAUAAGCCAGCUUGACUGCGAGCGUGACGGCGCGAGCAGGUGCGAAAGCAGGUCAUAGUGAUCCGGUGGUUCUGAAUGGAAGGGCCAUCGCUCAACGGAUAAAAGGUACUCCGGGGAUAACAGGCUGAUACCGCCCAAGAGUUCAUAUCGACGGCGGUGUUUGGCACCUCGAUGUCGGCUCAUCACAUCCUGGGGCUGAAGUAGGUCCCAAGGGUAUGGCUGUUCGCCAUUUAAAGUGGUACGCGAGCUGGGUUUAGAACGUCGUGAGACAGUUCGGUCCCUAUCUGCCGUGGGCGCUGGAGAACUGAGGGGGGCUGCUCCUAGUACGAGAGGACCGGAGUGGACGCAUCACUGGUGUUCGGGUUGUCAUGCCAAUGGCACUGCCCGGUAGCUAAAUGCGGAAGAGAUAAGUGCUGAAAGCAUCUAAGCACGAAACUUGCCCCGAGAUGAGUUCUCCCUGAGACUUUAGGUCUCCUGAAGGAACGUUGAAGACGACGACGUUGAUAGGCCGGGUGUGUAAGCGCAGCGAUGCGUUGAGCUAACCGGUACUAAUGAACCGUGAGGCUUAACCUUACAACGCCGAAG
This 3026-nucleotide ribosomal RNA is filed under the name Salmonella enterica. RNAcentral describes it as "bacterial LSU rRNA". It matches the Rfam family "Bacterial large subunit ribosomal RNA". The record is from RNAcentral. Lineage: Bacteria; Pseudomonadati; Pseudomonadota; Gammaproteobacteria; Enterobacterales; Enterobacteriaceae.